This 490-nucleotide ribosomal RNA is filed under the name uncultured bacterium. RNAcentral describes it as "partial 16S ribosomal RNA". It matches the Rfam family "Bacterial small subunit ribosomal RNA", at positions 30 to 507 of the family's 1533-position model. The record is from RNAcentral.
AUUGAACGCUGGCGGCAGGCCUAACACAUGCAAGUCGAACGGUAACAGGAAGAAGCUUGCUUCUUUGCUGACGAGUGGCGGACGGGUGAGUAAUGUCUGGGAAACUGCCUGAUGGAGGGGGAUAACUACUGGAAACGGUAGCUAAUACCGCAUAACGUCGCAAGACCAAAGAGGGGGACCUUCGGGCCUCUUGCCAUCGGAUGUGCCCAGAUGGGAUUCGCUAGUAGGUGGGGUAACGGCUCACCUAGGCGACGAUCCCUAGCUGGUCUGAGAGGAUGACCAGCCACACUGGAACUGAGACACGGGCCAGACUCCUACGGGAGGCAGCAGUGGGGAAUAUUGCACAAUGGGCGCAAGCCUGAUGCAGCCAUGCCGCGUGUAUGAAGAAGGCCUUCGGGUUGUAAAGUACUUUCAGCGGGGAGGAAGGGAGUAAAGUUAAUACCUUGGCUCAUUGACGUUACCCGCAGAAGAAGCACCGGCUAACUCCGUG